RNAcentral lists this ribosomal RNA (1000 nucleotides) under Paracardiophorus musculus. Its description in RNAcentral is "SSU rRNA". It matches the Rfam family "Eukaryotic small subunit ribosomal RNA", at positions 32 to 964 of the family's 1831-position model. The record is from RNAcentral. Lineage: Eukaryota; Metazoa; Arthropoda; Insecta; Coleoptera; Elateridae.
UUGUCUCAAAGAUUAAGCCAUGCAUGUCUCAGUACAAGCCGAAUUAAGGUGAAACCGCGAAAGGCUCAUUAAAUCAGUUAUGGUUCCUUAGAUCGUACCCAAAUUUACUUGGAUAACUGUGGUAAUUCUAGAGCUAAUACAUGCAAACAGAGCUCCGACCGGAGACGGAAGGAGCGCUUUUAUUAGAUCAAAACCAAUCGGCGUCGGGCGCAAGCCUGUCGUCGUUCAUUCUGGCGAAUCUGAAUAACUUUCUGCUGAUCGCACGGUCUCGCACCGGCGACGCAUCUUUCAAAUGUCUGCCUUAUCAACUGUCGAUGGUAGGUUCCGUGCCUACCAUGGUCGUAACGGGUAACGGGGAAUCAGGGUUCGAUUCCGGAGAGGGAGCCUGAGAAACGGCUACCACAUCCAAGGAAGGCAGCAGGCGCGCAAAUUACCCACUCCCGGCACGGGGAGGUAGUGACGAAAAAUAACGAUACGGGACUCAUCCGAGGCCCCGUAAUCGGAAUGAGUACACUCUAAACCCUAUAACGAGGAUCAAUUGGAGGGCAAGUCUGGUGCCAGCAGCCGCGGUAAUUCCAGCUCCAAUAGCGUAUAUUAAAGUUGUUGCGGUUAAAAAGCUCGUAGUCGAAUCUGUGUCUCGCGCCGCCGGUUCAUCGCUCGCGGUGUUUAACUGGCGUGUCUCCGCGAGACGUCCUGCCGGUGGGCUUAGCCCGCGAGGGCGGCCCAACUCUUCGAAUCCCGCCGCGGUGCUCUUCAUUGAGUGUCGAGGCGGGCCGGCACGUUUACUUUGAACAAAUUAGAGUGCUUAAAGCAGGCUAAAACUUCGCCUGAAUACCGUGUGCAUGGAAUAAUGGAAUAGGACCUCGGUUCUAUUUUGUUGGUUUUCGGAACCCCGAGGUAAUGAUUAAUAGGAACGGAUGGGGGCAUUCGUAUUGCGACGUUAGAGGUGAAAUUCUUGGAUCGUCGCAAGACGGACGGAAGCGAAAGCAUUUGCCAAAAA